CGACGAAGGGAGAGUCUUUUCAGCGCUGAGGACUGGCGCUGAGGAGGCGGCGGUGGCUCCCGGGGCGUUUGAGCGGGCUCACCCGAGCCCGCGGGCCAACGCGGAUCCAGGCCCGACUGGCGGGACCGCCCCGGACUCCCCGCGGGCCUUCCUAGCCGCCAUGGAGGACGGCGUCUAUGAACCCCCAGACCUGACUCCGGAGGAGCGGAUGGAGCUGGAGAACAUCCGGCGGCGGAAGCAGGAGCUGCUGGUGGAGAUUCAGCGCCUGCGGGAGGAGCUCAGUGAAGCCAUGAGCGAGGUGGAGGGGCUGGAGGCCAAUGAGGGCAGUAAGACCUUGCAACGGAACCGGAAGAUGGCAAUGGGCAGGAAGAAGUUCAACAUGGACCCCAAGAAGGGGAUCCAGUUCUUGGUGGAGAAUGAACUGCUGCAGAACACACCCGAGGAGAUCGCCCGCUUCCUGUACAAGGGCGAGGGGCUGAACAAGACAGCCAUCGGGGACUACCUGGGGGAGAGGGAAGAGCUGAACCUGGCAGUGCUCCAUGCUUUUGUGGAUCUGCAUGAGUUCACCGACCUCAAUCUGGUGCAGGCCCUCAGGCAGUUUCUAUGGAGCUUUCGCCUACCCGGAGAGGCCCAGAAAAUUGACCGGAUGAUGGAGGCCUUCGCCCAGCGAUACUGCCUGUGCAACCCUGGGGUUUUCCAGUCCACAGACACGUGCUAUGUGCUGUCCUUCGCCGUCAUCAUGCUCAACACCAGUCUCCACAAUCCCAAUGUCCGGGACAAGCCGGGCCUGGAGCGCUUUGUGGCCAUGAACCGGGGCAUCAACGAGGGCGGGGACCUGCCUGAGGAGCUGCUCAGGAACCUGUACGACAGCAUCCGAAAUGAGCCCUUCAAGAUUCCUGAGGACGACGGGAAUGACCUGACCCACACCUUCUUCAACCCGGACCGGGAGGGCUGGCUCCUGAAGCUGGGUACGUGCCCUCCCGACCCCGCUGGUCCCUCCGCAGGAGGACAUUUGUGGGCCUGGGCCCUGGACUCAGCUUCCGCACAAACCUGCUGCCUGAACUGAGGCAAAUGAUUCGACCUCUCUGAACCUCAGUUUUCCACACCCAAAAAAUGGGGCUGAAAAUAAAAUCAGGCCUGUGUGCUGGGCCUGGCCUGUAGUAAGUACUUCCCAACCCCUUCUCUUGACCCACAAAUGUUGAUGGAGCCCUUCUGUGCCAGGCCCUGAGCUGGGCUGAGGAGGCAGAGAGGCAGCUGACAUUGUCCUUUCUUGGGAGAAGAGUUCACUCAGGCUUCUUUCCACUGCGUUAACCCAGCCUGAGGGAGCCAAACCCCUGGAAUCUAUUCCCCUUGGCAAGAACUCCCAGGGUCCCAGGCAGGACUGACCCCGCACUCCAAGGCAUCAGGCCCAGAGCACUUGCUGAUCCAGGUGCCAUCCUUCCCGAAACACCACCCACAGGCAGAAAAGAGCCAAACAGGCCAGGAAACCUGUCCCAGAUUCUGGCUUCCAGCUGUGGAGGGAAUAGCCAGGGCUGGUGCAGAUGAGUCGGGAAACCCAGCAGAGAUGGAGGGGGGAGUCUUCGUCAUAACACGUGGCACUGGCACAUUCAAGGUCGGUUAGCAUGGAUCAGACAGGAUCGUAGCAUGAUGAGGGGUUAGCACAAGGACUGGAGUGGUUCUCAGCCCUGGCUGUACAUGAGAUUUGCCUGGGCACCUCGAAAACUCCGGUGGCUGGGCCAUAGACUCCUGAAGUCAGGCUCUCAGGAGCAGAAGGGCCAUCAGUCAUUGUUUAAGCUCCUCGGGUGCUCCCAAUGCAUAGUCAAGGUUGAGAGCUGCUGGCCUGGAGCCGUGCCUGGUAACAGUAGGUGCCACCUGCGUGUUAGAUGUGGUUUAUAAUGGAGACACGGUGCACAGCUGCUCCAGAGAGACACAUCUGGGCAGUUACAGUCCAGCACAGCAGUGGAGGCUUCCCACGGCAGCAGGAGAGCCCACAGGAAGCUUUCAGCUCAGUGAAGGGAGUCAAGGUCAGGCUUCUUGGAAGGAGGUUGGACAGGGCAGCUUUGGCCUCUGAGUCUUGGGGGCCUCCUCAUGUGGAACUGUGCUCUUAAACCAGGGCAUCACCACCUCAACAGAUGCCAGGGUUUCCUGGUAAAUAUAAAAUACACAAGUCAGGCAGGGCACAGGGGCCCACCCCUGUAAUUUCAGCACUUUGGGAGGACAAAGCAGGAGGAUUGUUAGAGGUCAGGAGUUUGAGACCAACCUGGGCAAUAUAAUGAUACCCCGCAUCUCUACAAAAAAUAAAAAAAUUAGCCAGGCAUGGUGAUGUAGGAGGAUUGUUUGAGCUCAAGUGGUCGAGGCUUCAGUGAGUCGUGAUUGUGCCACUGCAGUCCAGCCUGGGCAACAGAGCGAGACCCCGUCUCUAUAAAAUAAAAAUAAAACAUGCAAAUCACUGUCCAGCCAGCACCCCAGUCCAGAUCCCUGCAUUCGAUCCAAGGGAGGCAGACUGCUGGGGGAAAUUGAGAGUCCUCGAGGUGCCCCUGGCAGUGAGCGGGCCAGAAAGAGAAGCAGGAAGGCGCCAGCAUCACGAGGAACUGCUUCCCUCAAAACUGCUGUCAGGCCAGGCACGGUGGCUCAGGCCUGUAAUCCCAGCACUUUGGGAGGCUGAGGCAGGCAGAUCACUUGAGGUCAGGAGUUUGAGACCAGCCUGGCCAACAUGGUGAAACCCCGUCUCUACUAAAAAUACAAAAAUUACCUGGGCAUGGUGGCAGGCACCUGUAAUCCCAGCUACUUGGGAGGCUGAGGCACAAGAAUUGCUUGAACCCAGGAGGUGGAGCUUGCAGUGAGCCGAGAUCACACCAUUGCAAAUCCAGCGUGGACGACAGAGCGAGACAGUCUCAAAAAAACAAAACAAAACAAAAACUGCUCCUGUGAGCAGUAACUUUCCCAUUUCCCAGAUGAGGAAAUUGAGGCUCACGCCUCAGUUUGGUUCUGAGCCCCACCUAAGGCUGCCCAGCCCCAGGGACAUCUCUGACCAAAGGGCCUCUGUUCCCUUUGUGCCAGUUAGAGGGACCCCUUCCUUAAAAGAUGGAAAUACAGGAGUGGAGAUUGGUGAUGGUGGUUGCUACUCCAUGCCUGAUAAAAGCCAUUCUUACUGUCAUUGUUUAACUCUGGGCCCACAAGGAAGCCAGCAGCAGGUCAUUUUGCCACAGGAAGGUGUAGGCCCGAGUGAGUCUCCAGGCUGGAGUCCAGAGAGUCCAAGAGAGUGCCCUGAAGUCACACAGCCAGUUUGUGCAGGAGCUGAGAUGGGCCCCCACACCCACCUCAGACCAAGGGCUGGGGGUUUUGCCUUCUGUCCUGUGGGGGCCUCCUCCAGGGCAGAGGCACUUUUACCAUGUCAAGGGAGGACGCUCCUGGCCUAGGACAGACCCUAGGGGGUAGGCUGGGGCCCUGUACCGAAGCAAGGGGUUUUCAAGGCUGCCACCCGGGGCUCAUGGCCCUUGGCCUCUCUGGGAGGGAGGAGCCCCGGCCAUCCCCCCCCUCGUGGAUGUAACUGGUUUUCUUCCCUCUCUCUCCCUCCCCUCCUCUCUGCAUCUUUCUCUCUCUCCUGUGUUUGCCUCUCUGUCCCGCCCCUGCGCAUCCCUCCCUGUGCCCACCCUGUUUCUGUCGCCUGCGGCUCUUGGGGGUGCUCCAUUCUCCCGCCUUCCCUUCUCCUGCACCUGGUCCUGCCUGCUUUCUCGCUGUCUGCCCCAGGAGGUAGGUACACGACCUGUCUUUGUCUCCCAUCACUAGACGAGGGGAGGGGGCUGCCCUGGCGCCCUGGCCUCCUGCCCACAGGAGGAGGGGGCUGGGGGCUCAGGCUCCUGGGCUGGGACUGACAGACUCAGAAAAUGUGGAGCCCCAAGCUGGGGGUGGACGAUUCCUGGAGCCCCAACAUGCCUGGCCCUGCUUGUCUGUCUCCCCCAAUGCAGCGGCUUUGUCUAGGCCCCAGGAGCCCCACCUCUACUGCUCUUGCUCUGCUUCUCACGCCCCUCCCAUCUCCCAGAGGCCCUGUCCCCCUGUUGAGCCCAGGCCCCCUCCCACCCCUUCCCUUUCAGGGGGCCGGGUGAAGACGUGGAAGCGGCGCUGGUUUAUCCUCACAGACAACUGCCUGUACUACUUUGAGUACACCACGGACAAGGAGCCCCGAGGAAUCAUCCCCCUGGAGAAUCUGAGCAUCCGAGAGGUGGACGACCCCCGGAAACCGAACUGCUUUGAACUUUACAUCCCCAACAACAAGGGGCAGCUCAUCAAAGCCUGCAAAACUGAGGCGGACGGCCGAGUGGUGGAGGGAAACCACAUGGUGUACCGGAUCUCGGCCCCCACGCAGGAGGAGAAGGACGAGUGGAUCAAGUCCAUCCAGGCGGCUGUGAGUGUGGACCCCUUCUAUGAGAUGCUGGCAGCGAGAAAGAAGCGGAUUUCAGUCAAGAAGAAGCAGGAGCAGCCCUGACCCCCUGCCCCCAACUCCAUUAUUUAUUACGGAGCUGCCCCGCCUGGGUGGCCGGACCCCUGGGCCUUGGGGCUGUGGAUCCUGGUUCCCUGUUUGGAAAAUUCACCACCUCUAGCUCCUCACUGUUCUUUGUAAUUAACACGCUGUUGGUAAUCUUAUUAAUUAUUUAACC
Molecule: small RNA, 4658 nt
Filed under: Pan troglodytes (chimpanzee)
Lineage: Eukaryota; Metazoa; Chordata; Mammalia; Primates; Hominidae
Description: retained intron
Source: RNAcentral